AGCAGCCGCGGUAAUUCCAGCUCCAAUAGCGUAUAUUAAAGUUGUUGUAGUUAAAAAGCUCGUAGUUGAAUUUCGAGACCGGUCCACUGGUCGUGCUUUUGUACGUACUGGUUUUAUUGGUUUCUCCUUUCUGACGAACUAUAAUGCCAUUAAUUUGGUGUUAUGGGGAAUCAGGACUGUUACUUUGAAAAAAUUAGAGUGUUUAAAGCAGGCUCACGCUUGAAUACAUUAGCAAGGAAUAAUAAAAUAGGACGGUGGUCCUGUUUUGUUGGUUUCUGAAUCACCGUAAUGAUUAAUAGGGAUAGUUGGGGGCAUUAGUAUUCAAUUGUCAGAGGUGAAAUUCUUGGAUUUAUUGAAGACUAACUUCUGCGAAAGCAUUUGCCAAGGAUGUUUCAUUAAUCAAGAACGAAAGUUAGGGAUCGAAGACGAUCAGAUACCGUCGUAGUCUUAACCAUAAACUAUGCCGACUAGGAAUCAGACUCUAGUUUAUUUUUAAUGACGAGUUCGGCGCCGUUACGGAACCUGAGCGG
RNAcentral lists this ribosomal RNA (530 nucleotides) under uncultured Glomus. Its description in RNAcentral is "bacterial SSU rRNA". It matches the Rfam family "Eukaryotic small subunit ribosomal RNA", at positions 569 to 1106 of the family's 1831-position model. The record is from RNAcentral. Lineage: Eukaryota; Fungi; Glomeromycota; Glomeromycetes; Glomerales; Glomeraceae.